UGGAGGAUCUUGCACAAUGGGCGCAAGCCUGAUGCAGCCACGCCGCGUGCGGGAAGAAGGCCUUCGGGUCGUAAACCGCUUUCAGCAGGGACGAAGCGAGAGUGACGGUACCUGCAGAAGAAGGACCGGCCAACUACGUGCCAGCAGCCGCGGUAAUACGUAGGGUCCGAGCGUUGUCCGGAAUCAUUGGGCGUAAAGCGCAUGUAGGCGGCCCUUUAAGUCGGAUGUGAAAUCCCAGGGCUCAACCCUGGAACUGCAUCCGAUACUGGAGGGCUUGAGGAAGGUAGAGGAGAGUGGAAUUCCCGGUGUAGCGGUGGAAUGCGCAGAUAUCGGGAGGAACACCAGCGGCGAAGGCGGCUCUCUGGGCCUCUCCUGACGCUGAGAUGCGAAAGCGUGGGUAGCGAACAGGAUUAGAUACCCGGGUAGUCC
This 429-nucleotide ribosomal RNA is filed under the name uncultured prokaryote. Its description in RNAcentral is "bacterial SSU rRNA". It matches the Rfam family "Bacterial small subunit ribosomal RNA", at positions 355 to 796 of the family's 1533-position model. The record is from RNAcentral.